This 359-nucleotide transfer-messenger RNA is filed under the name Campylobacteraceae. RNAcentral's name for it is "Campylobacter_D sp008633915 Standard tmRNA". It matches the Rfam family "transfer-messenger RNA". From Rfam's summary of the family: Bacterial tmRNA, also known as 10Sa RNA or SsrA, is named for its dual tRNA and mRNA-like properties. Its role is to liberate the mRNA from a stalled ribosome. RNAcentral also lists the same sequence under 1 other name. The record is from RNAcentral. Lineage: Bacteria; Pseudomonadati; Campylobacterota; Epsilonproteobacteria; Campylobacterales.
GGGGACGACCUGGCUUCGACAGGAAUAGUUUUGCAAUGAUGGCAUGUCGCUUUGGGCAAAGCGUAAAAAGCCUACUUAAAUUUAAACGCAAACAACGCGAAAUUUGCUCCUGCCUACGCUAGAGUUGCGUAGUCGUGGUUGAGCCUUGCUUUUUGAUGAUACUAUCUAGUUGAAAAAGCGAGUCAUUUUUUGAUAGUGUAGCUUGAUUUUUGACGAAUUUUAAGCCAAAUUUAGUCUUAGCUAGUUUGUGAAAUUUUAAAGGUGAGUUUAAACUAGUGAAAUUUUCAUCUUUGAUAAGCAUGUAGAGAUUGUUGUGGGAUUAUUUUUGGACAGGGGUUCAAUUCCCCUCGUCUCCACCA